This 260-nucleotide ribosomal RNA is filed under the name uncultured bacterium. RNAcentral describes it as "partial 16S ribosomal RNA". It matches the Rfam family "Bacterial small subunit ribosomal RNA", at positions 793 to 1055 of the family's 1533-position model. The record is from RNAcentral.
GUCCACGCCCUAAACGAUGUCAACUGGUUGUCGGGAAGUUAUUCCUUGGUAACGAAGCUAACGCGUGAAGUUGACCGCCUGGGGAGUACGGCCGCAAGGUUAAACUCAAAGGAAUUGACGGGGACCCGCACAAGCGGUGGAUUAUGUGGAUUAAUUCGAUGCAACGCGAAAACCUUACCUACCCUUGACAUGUGCGGAAGGGGUAGAGAUACCUCGGUGCCCGAAAGGGAACCGCAACACAGGUGCUGCAUGGCUGUCGU